This 807-nucleotide ribosomal RNA is filed under the name Triticum aestivum (bread wheat). Its description in RNAcentral is "partial small subunit ribosomal RNA". The record is from RNAcentral. Lineage: Eukaryota; Viridiplantae; Streptophyta; Magnoliopsida; Poales; Poaceae.
AUGUUCCAGCUCAUCCUCAUAGUCGGAUUCCUCCUUGCCUCAUCCAUAGUAAUUGAGUUGCACAACUGGCGGUUGCUAUGUAUUUGGCUUCGGCGGUGGAGAGGGCAACACAAUUUUUUUGUCAAAUGUUUACAAGUGACUCUACCUUCCGAUAUGCCGGUGAGAAUUUUAUCAACUUGCUCCCCAUGGGAGCCAUUAAAUUCAUCAAACACCACGUCACAAGUUUCUACAACACAUCCAUUUGAUUUGUUUCCAUACUUUUUCCCACCAAGACUAUCCCAUGGAGGAUUACUAGAAUUGACCUUGUCAUUUGCUAAUCCCACCCUUAUCAAUGAUGUGAGGUUCCACCCCUGUGUCAGAUUCAGACCUUGGGAGUCCAAUCAGAUCCUAUCAUUUGUUCCUCCUGAUGGGCAGUUCAAGCUUAUGAGUUAUAGGGUUAAGAAACUGAAGACCACACCAAUUUAUGUGAAGCCACGGUUAUCAUCUGAUUCUGGGAAUUGCCGUGUCAAUGUGAUGGUGCGGAUACGGAAUGAUCCUGGAAAACCUAUUGAUUCUAUAACAACAUGUGUUUGGACAAUUGGGCAUAUUCCUAAAGAUAAAGCACCAUCCCUCUCUGGAAAUCUACGUCUGGAGGAAGGAUUCGCUCAUUUGCAUGCAUUUCCAACAUUUCAAGUGAAAUUCAGGAUUAUGGGGGUAGCACUGUCUGGGCUUCAAAUUGAUAAACUGGAAGUGAAAAAUACACCAAGCGCACCAUACAAAGGUUUUCGAGCCCAGACUCAAGCUGGAAGGUAUGAGGACAGGUCCUAG